CAGGUGCAGAUCCGCAGUGCUGAUGAGCCGAUGACCACCUUUGUGUUGUGUAACAGCUGCGGCAACCGAUGGAAGUUUUGUUGAAGAGGACGUGCGUGUGUGUGUUUGCGUGUGUUUGUGUGUGUGUGUGUGUGCGUGCCUGUGUAUAUUCUAUCAUGAAGCAAAAUGACUAAAAAUGAAUUGAAUUUGGAUUCAAAAAUAUGAAUUUCUUUUUUUGUUUUAUUUUGUAUAAUUUAUUUUGUAUAUAUAUAUAAAAGGUGAAUGCUGUAAUAUAUUUAGAUAUAUUUAAAAACAAAUAUGAAGGCCCAUGUUGUGUAUAUGGUUUAGUUUGUAUUGUAUGCAGCACUUAUAAAGAGUUUAUUUCUUAUUCUAGAUGAAGCUUUAAACCAGAAUGAAAUCACAUUUAGGAUUUGUGGAAACAGCUUGUUGUGCUGACAUAAUAUGUUACCCUUAACAUUUCUAUUAAAGUUGCUCUUUAUUUAAGACCA
This is a long non-coding RNA of Notothenia coriiceps (black rockcod), 488 nucleotides long. RefSeq lists it as uncharacterized. The transcript is spliced from 2 exons. The record is from RefSeq and is a predicted model, not a curated record. Lineage: Eukaryota; Metazoa; Chordata; Actinopteri; Perciformes; Nototheniidae.